This 468-nucleotide ribosomal RNA is filed under the name uncultured bacterium. RNAcentral's name for it is "partial 16S ribosomal RNA". It matches the Rfam family "Bacterial small subunit ribosomal RNA", at positions 28 to 507 of the family's 1533-position model. The record is from RNAcentral.
GACGAACGCUGGCGGCGUGCUUAACACAUGCAAGUCGAACGGAAAGGUCCUGCUUUUGUGGGGUGCUCGAGUGGCGAACGGGUGAGUAACACGUGAGUAACCUGCCCUUGACUUUGGGAUAACUUCAGGAAACUGGGGCUAAUACUGGCUAGGAGCUCCUGCUGCAUGGUGGGGGUUGGAAAGAUUCGGCGGUUGGGGAUGGACUCGCGGCUUAUCAGCUUGUUGGUGGGGUAGUGGCUUACCAAGGCUUUGACGGGUAGCCGGCAUGAGAGGGUGACCGGCCACAUGAGGACUGAGAUACGGCCCAGACUCCUACGGGAGGCAGCAGUGGAAAAUAUUGCACAGUGGGCGGAAGCCUGAUGCAGCAGCGCCGCGUGCGGGAUGACGGCCUUCGGGUUGUAAACCGCUUUCGCCUGUGACGAAGCGUGAGUGACGGUAAUGGGUAAAGAAGCACCGGCUAACUACGUG